Molecule: ribosomal RNA, 345 nt
Filed under: Babesia odocoilei
Lineage: Eukaryota; Apicomplexa; Aconoidasida; Piroplasmida; Babesiidae
Description: SSU rRNA
Rfam family: Eukaryotic small subunit ribosomal RNA
Source: RNAcentral
CAAUUGUCUUGUAAUUGGAAUGAUGGUGACCUAAACCCUCACCAGAGUAACAAUUGGAGGGCAAGUCUGGUGCCAGCAGCCGCGGUAAUUCCAGCUCCAAUAGCGUAUAUUAAACUUGUUGCAGUUAAAAAGCUCGUAGUUGAAUUUCUGCGUCACCGUAUUUUGACUUUUGUCGACUGUCGGUUUCGCUUUUGGGAUUUAUCCCUUUUUACUUUGAGAAAAUUAGAGUGUUUCAAGCAGACUUUUGUCUUGAAUACUUCAGCAUGGAAUAAUAGAGUAGGACUUUGGUUCUAUUUUGUUGGUUUGUGAACCUUAGUAAUGGUUAAUAAGAACGGUUGGGGGCAU